This is a long non-coding RNA of Rhipicephalus microplus (southern cattle tick), 312 nucleotides long. The record is from RefSeq and is a predicted model, not a curated record. Lineage: Eukaryota; Metazoa; Arthropoda; Arachnida; Ixodida; Ixodidae.
GUGACGAUGUCUGCAGUUAGGAGUGGGAUGUUCGUUUUACUGGCGAUGGCUCUGUUUUUCAUGACUGACACUUGCGCCAUGACAUCGUGUGGCAGUGUGUGUCGUACUUCUCAGGCUGGAGUGGUGACCAGCUGUCCUAGGGGCUGCAAGUGUGUUAUGGAGGCCGAAAGCAGCUUCGGAGGUGGCAUAGGGAGAUGUCAGCGGACUUUCAGCUGACAGGGGCGAGACCCCUAUACAUUUGUCUUUGUCGACAAAUAAACGAAGGAUGAAGAAAAAUGAUGAAGAAACAUAAUUUGCAUGAUACCCUCCUGC